UACAGAGGGGGCGAGCGUUGUUCGGAAUUACUGGGCGUAAAGGGCGCGUAGGCGGCCUUCUAAGUCGAACGUGAAAUCCCCGGGCUCAACCCGGGAACUGCGUCCGAUACUGGGAGGCUUGAAUCCGGGAGAGGGAUGUGGAAUUCCAGGUGUAGCGGUGAAAUGCGUAGAUAUCGGGAAGAACACCCGUGGCGAAGGCGGUUCUCUGGGACGGUACUGACGCUGAGACGCGAAAGCGUGGGGAGCGAACAGG
RNAcentral lists this ribosomal RNA (253 nucleotides) under uncultured bacterium. Its description in RNAcentral is "partial 16S ribosomal RNA". It matches the Rfam family "Bacterial small subunit ribosomal RNA", at positions 524 to 776 of the family's 1533-position model. The record is from RNAcentral.